RNAcentral lists this ribosomal RNA (253 nucleotides) under uncultured bacterium. Its description in RNAcentral is "partial 16S ribosomal RNA". It matches the Rfam family "Bacterial small subunit ribosomal RNA", at positions 524 to 776 of the family's 1533-position model. The record is from RNAcentral.
UACGAAGGGGGCUAGCGUUAUUCGGAAUUAUUGGGCGUAAAGGGCGCGUAGGCGGCUUGAUGUGUCAAAGGUGAAAUCCCUCGGCUCAACUGAGGAACUGCCUUUGAAACUGUCUGGCUUGAGGCCGGGAGAGGGUAGCGGAAUUCCCAGUGUAGCGGUGAAAUGCGUAGAUACUGGGAGGAACACCGGUGGCGAAGGCGGCUACCUGGACCGGUUCUGACGCUGAUGCGCGAAAGCGUGGGUAGCAAACAGG